GUAAAACAUGCAGGGCUGUGGCCCUCCAGGACCAGGAUUGCCCACCCCUGCUCUAAGUCAUACAUGGAGGGAACAACCUGACUAAGGCAAUCCUGAGCAAAAGAUGCAGCUUGUAAAAAAAGAAGCAAAAUCUUCAAUAAUUUUUUAGUUUGUUUGGUUUUUGUUUGUUUGUUUGGCAGAAUACAUUUGUGACUCACCUCCACYCACACCACCGCGGAUGCGUUGUUGACUUGAAACCCCACGGAGUGACAACGAAAUGAAAGUGAGAUGAAGGCCCUCGUGUCGUCUCCUUUUCCCCACGAGAGCCACAUCCAAGGUGAUGCAGGAUCUUUGAGCUCAGGAGGAGAGACAGCGUUGCCUGCAGGGCUGCCAUGGCAAAGUGUGGGAAAGGCCCUGGAGAGGACAAGAAAAAAAAAGGAAGGAUGUGGAAACUAGUGAUGGCCRACACUCUCACACCUGACCACUGUCUUUUCAAAAACAAAAACAAAAAAAAGGAAAAACAGAGAAAAUUUUCUACAUAAAACAACAACAACAAAAAAAGGAAAACGACCUGAGAAAGUUCCUCUCAGCUUCACAAGCCCAGAGAAAAGUACCAUCUGGUGCCAUUUUUAUCCCCCUCCACUGUGCCUCUGUUUCGUCUUUGCACUGCUGUCAGCACUGUUUCAAUUACAUUCUGCAGCUUAUGUCUAUAGUGGAUUACACCAGAUUGGUGUUUGUGUGUGAGACUGUGGGUUUGCUCGUGGUUUAAGGCUAUGGAACGCUUUCUUCUUUUAUUGUCAAACCAAAGACAACGGUGUUCUUGGCCUGCGAGCGGUUUCCACCUCUUCGCGGCGCCGUGGCAGAAUUAAGACGUGAACGAUMCCAUUUCAGAUCGUGACAAAGAGAUCUAAUUUUGAUUUCUUCACRUUUUUGUUUUGCUUUUUUCUUUCGCCUUUUGUCUUUUUGCACUCUUUUUAAAAAAUUUUUUAGUCUGUGGGACUUUUUUUUUCUUCUCCUAGAUUGUCGGUGCUUAGUUGUGACCUAGUUUGUUAAAAGGGGGGAGUUUGGCCAAGCCUUGGGAAUCCGGGGCAGAUUAACUUUCUGUUAGUUCUCCCUAGCAAAGCUCCAUAUGUCAGAGCUGCUGCUAUCAAAAAUGGAUCCUACUGGCAGAGUAACACAACGACCAAAUCCCAUUUCCUUGUGUUUGA
Long non-coding RNA from Austrofundulus limnaeus, 1187 nucleotides. RefSeq lists it as uncharacterized. The transcript is spliced from 2 exons. NCBI's taxonomy places the organism in Eukaryota, Metazoa, Chordata, Actinopteri, Cyprinodontiformes, Rivulidae. The record is from RefSeq and is a predicted model, not a curated record.